AGGAGGAACAGCCAACAGUGGCAGUGGCCAUCUCUGGAGCCCUGGAUUCAGCUCCUGCAGUAACUACAAAACUCUCAGUCUGCAGGGGCCUGGAUGCUCCAGGGACGG
RNAcentral lists this microRNA precursor (108 nucleotides) under Canis lupus familiaris (dog). RNAcentral's name for it is "mir-8834 microRNA precursor family". It matches the Rfam family "mir-8834 microRNA precursor family". RNAcentral also lists the same sequence under 1 other name. Lineage: Eukaryota; Metazoa; Chordata; Mammalia; Carnivora; Canidae. The record is from Rfam by way of RNAcentral.